This 76-nucleotide transfer RNA is filed under the name Bacteriophage sp. RNAcentral describes it as "tRNA-Thr". It matches the Rfam family "tRNA". From Rfam's summary of the family: Transfer RNA (tRNA) molecules are approximately 80 nucleotides in length. Their secondary structure includes four short double-helical elements and three loops (D, anti-codon, and T loops). The record is from RNAcentral.
GCCGUCGUAGCACAACAGGUAGUGCGGCUGACUUGUAAUCAGCAGGUUGUUGGUUCAAUUCCAAUCGGUGGCUCCA